AUGACGAAGGCAAACUCAUCUGGCUCGAGAGUUGAUGGCGGCGGAGGAAAGAUAGUUGGGGAAGCGGGGCGGAUAGCGGAGGUGGAGGCGGCUGAGGUUGCGGGAGGGAGUAAACCAAAUCGGGAGGAAUCACUAGAUGAGAAGUUGAAGUAUCUGAAUCUUAGGGAAGAAGAAGAGGAAGAUGUGAUCUUGGAGGAAGACAUGGAGGAACUAGAGAAGGAUGCAGAGUUCAUGGCGCUAGCCCGGUUGCAUAUCUCAAGAAAAUUCAGUCACGGGGCUUUCUAUGGAACGAUGAGAUCGGCAUGGAAUCUGGCAUAGGAAGUAGAGUUCAGAGCUAUAGAAGAUAACCUGUUCUCCGUACAGAUCGCAUGCUUGGCGGACUGGGAGAGAGUUAUGCUUGAAGGACCGUGGAUCUUUCAAAAUUGUCCAGUGCUGCUUGCCCCAUAUGAUGGAUGGUCAGAACCAAGCGAGGUAGAGUUAAAUACCUAUCAGGUGUGGGUGAGGGUGAUGGGUUUGAAGGAGAAGAUGAGGAGUGCAAACAUAGCUCGUCAGUUGGCAAGGAAGGCAGGGAUGGUGGAAAGAGUUGAUGAACGAUCUGUUAAGGGCCAAGGUGGGGGCAUUAGAGUACGUGUAACUUUAGACGUACGAAAGCCCCUCACUAGAUGUGCUAGUUUGACGCUGAGGAUGAAGAAAUUGUAUUUUGAUUUUGAAUAUGAAAAGAUGCCAUGGUUUUGUGGAGUUUGCGGGUUUGUAGGUCAUGUGGCAAAGGAACAUGGGAAUGGGGUUCAUGAGGAGUCUGCUAUUAUUUACCCCAUAACUCUGAUUGCGCCGGAGUUUAGAAGGGAGGAUCAGAUUGGGAUGGAUGGCUCAUAUGGCAGAGGAGGAGGAGGUAGAUCGGGAGGAGGAGGUAGAGGGGGUUUUGCGGCAGGAACAGAUCCCAGUGGACCAAGGAAGGAAAAUGAUGAGUUAAGCAGUUCUGCUAGUAGCCCCUUGAAAUCAAAUGAUGUCCACUCGCAAACUUCGAGUGCUCUGAAGAGAAGACUGGAGUUUGAGGAGAAGGGGAAAGGGAAUUAG
RNAcentral lists this ribosomal RNA (1074 nucleotides) under Triticum aestivum (bread wheat). RNAcentral describes it as "partial small subunit ribosomal RNA". The record is from RNAcentral. Lineage: Eukaryota; Viridiplantae; Streptophyta; Magnoliopsida; Poales; Poaceae.